RNAcentral lists this small RNA (737 nucleotides) under Oryza sativa Japonica Group (Japanese rice). RNAcentral's name for it is "sRNA Os10g0161550". The record is from RNAcentral. Lineage: Eukaryota; Viridiplantae; Streptophyta; Magnoliopsida; Poales; Poaceae.
UACAUAUCGCAAGCCACAAUAUUAGGGGAAGUGUCAUAUUUACAGGUGUCAAAAGAUGAAUACAAUUGACCAAAAAAAAGCUUAUACUCGAACAGGAUAAUGGACAGACGACUUAUUGACUGGAUGCAGCAGCCACUGAUUGGAAUUUGAUAGUCAGAAAUUACAAGAUGAAUCAGGUCCUAAGAUAAGACGAUCAUGAGUUGGUACAAAUGGCUAACACAACAGACAAGACCCACGACUAUCAACUCUUUCACAGAAAAGUGGAACAAAGAUAUAUGAUCACAGACGCUCAUCUCUUAAUGAGAAAACCAAGCAGGAUUCUCAGAAUAGCAAUAACCAGCACAAAAACUAGUGAGAAACCACCGUUCUGACUCCCCAUUUGCCUCCUUAGAAGAUCCAGUUCUUCUUGAAGCUUCAUGUUCUGUUGAAUGGCAGAACUCUUCUCCUCCUUCAACUUUGAAAUCAAGGCCAAUGGCUGCACAUAGCUCAGAGGUUACUGUUUCUUAUUCUCUAGAUCCUUUUGUUGCCUGCAAAGAAAAGUUCACAAUUUGUUUCAGAUGAUAAGGAAAUGAAUCUCUCUGAAACGAGAAAUUUAACUAUUUGCCACUUUAGGUUUGCCAAUUAUCCAAAUGCCCUUAUUAGGUUUGUCCUUAAUUUUUUUUGCCCUUUUAAGGUGGUGGCAUCUUAACUAUUUGCCACUUUUGCCCAUGUGGCAUGCCAACAUGGCAACACAGUGU